This 86-nucleotide transfer RNA is filed under the name Rattus norvegicus (Norway rat). It matches the Rfam family "tRNA". From Rfam's summary of the family: Transfer RNA (tRNA) molecules are approximately 80 nucleotides in length. Their secondary structure includes four short double-helical elements and three loops (D, anti-codon, and T loops). Lineage: Eukaryota; Metazoa; Chordata; Mammalia; Rodentia; Muridae. The record is from Rfam by way of RNAcentral.
GGGGAUUUAGCUCAGUGGUAGAGCGCUUGCCUAGGAAGCGCAAGGCCCUGGGUUGCGCAAGGCCCUGGGUUCGAUCCCCAGCUCCG